This 81-nucleotide non-coding RNA is filed under the name Firmicutes bacterium CAG:114. RNAcentral's name for it is "ZMP/ZTP riboswitch aptamer (pfl RNA motif)". It matches the Rfam family "ZMP/ZTP riboswitch aptamer (pfl RNA motif)". From Rfam's summary of the family: Previously known as pfl RNA. ZMP is also known as AICAR. RNAcentral also lists the same sequence under 1 other name. The record is from Rfam by way of RNAcentral. Lineage: Bacteria; Bacillati; Bacillota.
AGAACUUUUUGUGACUGACGGAAGUGGGAGAACCACAGGGAGCAAAAAGCAUAGUUGCGGCCGACCGUCUGGGCAGUUCAA